CUGCACAGGAGCCCACCCUGGACUCCCAGCUCAGCCCACUCAGGGAUCAGGACUGAACACAGCUGCUCACCAUGGAGAGUGUGCUCAGCUGGGUUUUCCUGGUGGCUGUUUUCAAAGGUGUCCAGUGUGAGGUGCAGCUGGUGGAGACUGGGGGAGGCCUGAUGCAGCCUGGGGGUUCCCUGCGACUCACCUGUGUAGCGUCUGGAUUCACCUUCAGUGACUACUACAUGGACUGGGUCCGCCAGGCUCCAGGGAAGGGGCUGGAGUGGGUUGGUCGUAUAAGAAACAAAGCUAAUAGUUAUAGCACAGUAUACGCUUCAUCUGUAAAAGACCGAUUCACCAUCUCCAGAGAGGACACCAAGAACACACUGUACCUGCAAAUGAGCAGUCUGAGAACCGAGGACACAGCCACCUAUUACUGUGUCAGAGACACAGUGAGGGGACCUCAGUGUGAGCCCAGACAGAAACCUCCUGCAGGGUGCCCAGGGCCAGCAGGGGGCGCUCAGCACACAGCAGCUCAGGGACAGCACAGGAGCAGGUGCAGAGGGGGUGGGGCAGAUUUCCUCCAUCUGGGGGCCUCUCCUCUCCAUGAUCCAGCUUUGUAGGAGAGCUCUCUGGAC
This is a non-coding RNA of Marmota monax (woodchuck), 620 nucleotides long. The record is from the annotation of a RefSeq genome assembly. Lineage: Eukaryota; Metazoa; Chordata; Mammalia; Rodentia; Sciuridae.